RNAcentral lists this ribosomal RNA (400 nucleotides) under uncultured bacterium. RNAcentral describes it as "bacterial SSU rRNA". It matches the Rfam family "Bacterial small subunit ribosomal RNA", at positions 355 to 758 of the family's 1533-position model. The record is from RNAcentral.
UGGGGAAUUUUCCGCAAUGGGCGAAAGCCUGACGGAGCAAGACCGCGUGGGGGAAGAAGGCUCUUGGGUUGUAAACCCCUUUUCUCUGGGAAGAAAGUUGUGAAAGCAACCUGACGGUACCAGAGGAAUCAGCAUCGGCUAACUCCGUGCCAGCAGCCGCGGUAAGACGGAGGAUGCAAGCGUUAUCCGGAAUGAUUGGGCGUAAAGCGUCCGCAGGUGGCAGUUCAAGUCUGCUGUCAAAGACCGGGGCUUAACUUCGGAAAGGCAGUGGAAACUGAACAGCUAGAGUAUGGUAGGGGCAGAGGGAAUUCCUGGUGUAGCGGUGAAAUGCGUAGAGAUCAGGAAGAACAUCGGUGGCGAAGGCGCUCUGCUGGACCAUAACUGACACUCAGGGACGAAA